AUUGAACGCUGGCGGCAUGCCUUACACAUGCAAGUCGAACGGAUCCUUCGGGAUUAGUGGCGGACGGGUGAGUAACACGUGGGAACGUGCCCUUUGGUUCGGAACAACUCAGGGAAACUUGAGCUAAUACCGGAUGUGCCCUUCGGGGGAAAGAUUUAUCGCCAUUGGAGCGGCCCGCGUCUGAUUAGCUAGUUGGUGAGGUAAAGGCUCACCAAGGCGACGAUCAGUAGCUGGUCUGAGAGGAUGAUCAGCCACAUUGGGACUGAGACACGGCCCAAACUCCUACGGGAGGCAGCAGUGGGGAAUCUUGCGCAAUGGGCGAAAGCCUGACGCAGCCAUGCCGCGUGAAUGAUGAAGGUCUUAGGAUUGUAAAAUUCUUUCACCGGGGACGAUAAUGACGGUACCCGGAGAAGAAGCCCCGGCUAACUUCGUGCCAGCCGCCGCAGUAA
RNAcentral lists this ribosomal RNA (449 nucleotides) under uncultured bacterium. RNAcentral describes it as "partial 16S ribosomal RNA". It matches the Rfam family "Bacterial small subunit ribosomal RNA", at positions 30 to 523 of the family's 1533-position model. The record is from RNAcentral.